This 482-nucleotide ribosomal RNA is filed under the name uncultured bacterium. RNAcentral describes it as "partial 16S ribosomal RNA". It matches the Rfam family "Bacterial small subunit ribosomal RNA", at positions 30 to 507 of the family's 1533-position model. The record is from RNAcentral.
AUUGAACGCUGGCGGCAUGCCUUACACAUGCAAGUCGAACGGUAACAGGUCUUCGGAUGCUGACGAGUGGCGAACGGGUGCGUAAUACAUCGGAACGUGCCCGAUCGUGGGGGAUAACGAGGCGAAAGCUUUGCUAAUACCGCAUACGAUCUACGGAUGAAAGCGGGGGAUCUUCGGACCUCGCGCGGCCGGAGCGGCCGAUGGCAGAUUAGGUAGUUGGUGGGAUAAAAGCUUACCAAGCCGACGAUCUGUAGCUGGUCUGAGAGGAUGAUCAGCCACACUGGGACUGAGACACGGCCCAGACUCCUACGGGAGGCAGCAGUGGGGAAUUUUGGACAAUGGGCGAAAGCCUGAUCCAGCCAUGCCGCGUGCAGGAUGAAGGCCUUCGGGUUGUAAACUGCUUUUGUACGGAACGAAAAGCCUCUUUCUAAUAAAGAGGGGUCAUGACGGUACCGUAAGAAUAAGCACCGGCUAACUACGUG